RNAcentral lists this long non-coding RNA (378 nucleotides) under Anas platyrhynchos platyrhynchos (common mallard). Its description in RNAcentral is "lncRNA (ENSAPLG00000020832.1)". Lineage: Eukaryota; Metazoa; Chordata; Aves; Anseriformes; Anatidae. The record is from RNAcentral.
AUGGGAUCCUAUAGUUGGAAUGAGGUAUCAGAAGAUCUAGUGGUUCGGUGUGCUUUUGUUAAAUGGCAAGUUUUUAGAGAGGACCAAAGGCCUGCCUGGAGGGUUUCAGAGGUAGAGGGAAGGAAAACUGGCAACUGUCUGGCAACUGGUGUCAGCCUACCUACAAAUAACCUGCUUACUGCUGAGAUUCAACUGUAUGCACUGCCCUGGAGGCGCAUCUUCUGCAGAACUAACACAGCUUCUGCCGGGUAUAACAGGACUCGCUCAGGCUUCAGCAGUCCCUCUUCUGAUGGAACAGACUGCUGGAAAACUCAGAAAGCUGAGAAUAAAGUCACCCAGAAGAAUGAAGGCAGUUGGGUACGACUAUACCUGACCUAG